CGCGGGGUAGAGCAGUGGCAGCUCGUCAGGCUCAUAACCUGAAGGUCGGUGGUUCGAUUCCCCCCCCCGCUACCA
Molecule: transfer RNA, 75 nt
Filed under: Lentisphaeria bacterium
Lineage: Bacteria; Pseudomonadati; Lentisphaerota; Lentisphaeria
Also listed under: 1 other name
Description: tRNA-Met
Rfam family: tRNA
About the family: Transfer RNA (tRNA) molecules are approximately 80 nucleotides in length. Their secondary structure includes four short double-helical elements and three loops (D, anti-codon, and T loops).
Source: RNAcentral